Molecule: non-coding RNA, 1879 nt
Organism: Phascolarctos cinereus (koala)
Lineage: Eukaryota; Metazoa; Chordata; Mammalia; Diprotodontia; Phascolarctidae
Source: RefSeq, a predicted model, not a curated record
GCUGCCGGUUUCUCCAGGCGGGUCUCCGCUCGCUUUUUUUUCUUUACAUAAUGCUCUCCUCCGCCUCCCCUCCGCCUUCUUUUCUAAUGGACUAGCCCAGCCGGGGCUCGGCGCAUGCGCAAAGGCCCGUCCUCGCGCCCCUGCGGGUCAGAACCAGAACGAGAAGUAGCUGGUUCUAGAACCGUCGUCCUUGAUUUCGUAUAUGUUCGCUGUUGAUUAUGAGGGCUGGAUAUUCAAAUUCAGGCUUUGGAAAAACUGGUCCAAAUGGUCAGUUCACCCAGCAUGGCCUCCAGAUGCGGCUGCUCUCCCUGCAGUGUUGGCCUAGCCUCACUUAUUUCUGUGGCGAUCGUGCCCAUUGACCGGAGCUGAUCCCACGUGCGAACACCAGGAAGUCCUUUCAGCACCCCCUCACCCUCCGCGGCUCUAGGGUCUGGCCGAAGGGUCACUAGAAGUCAGCCAGCCCAUCGGUACAACUUCAUAUCACUCCAGGCAGAGCAGAGGCUGGCGCAGGUGAUUGGGAAACCCUAGGUCCUAGGUAGGCUCUGUAGCCAAGUGAAAAGGUCGCGACAAACUGGCGCCCAACAUGGGGCAUGCACUGCUGCCAUCAAGCUGCAUUGAACAUACGGAGAGUGAGACAGCUGCAGGAAAUAGUCGGGAUGCGUCUGGACCAAGAAGACGCGACACCCACAUCAAGACACCGAGGUCUGUUGGAGCCAGGCAGCCUCUUAGAAAGAGGUCUCCGACUCGUAUCCCAUUGCAAGAUAUGGAGUGGUGAUGGAGAACUUUGGGUUAGAAUGAAGGAUGUCCGCAUUAUCCAUUCAGAAGGGACAAGGCAAGCAGAAGAGAAAACACAGGCCGACCAGGAAUAAAAGGAGUUGAAAGAAUAAGAAGAAGGCACUACAAGAACUUUUAACCAAACUCUGACUCUUGUUGUUGUCGUCAGCAGUGGUACAGAACACAGCAGCAGCAGAGACAGGAAAUACAACAAGAUGGGCUUUUGUGACAAAACUGCCAUGGCCAAGACUAGUUACAUGGGAAGAGACAAUACCUGAUGUUAUUUUACAAGGGGAAUGCAUCUGCAGGAUUGGGGAAGGAAUUUAAUUUUACACCUCAAAAGAAUGGGUCAAUUACAGUAAAGUUUAAGUUUCAAAGAUUGGUAUGAGUCACGUUCUGAUCAUAUUUUUGGAAUAAUAGACCAAAGAAAUCAAUUAGCAAUUGUUAGGAAGAGGAGAUGUAUUUCAUGUGUAGCAUUAGGAAUUGUAUCGCUUAUAGCUAUCAUAACUGCUUCUGUAUCUUUAUCUCAAUCUGUAUCUAUUGCAAGAAAUGAAAUGGUUCAAGCUGAUUUUAUGAAUCAAUUAAAUUGCAAUGUAUCAAAGGGUUUUCAAGCACAAAAUAGGAUGGACAAAGAAUUUUACCAUAUACUUGAGGGAAUGAAGGAAACCAUUAUUGAAAUAGGUACCGAAUUGGAUAUUUUAGAAUAUAGAACACAUUUGAAAUGUGAUUAUAGGUAUGAAUUCAUUUGUCUUACCAAUGUUAAAUACAAUGACUCGCAAUGGGACUGGCAGAGAAUAUGUAGACAUCUGAAUGGGCUAUUUGGGAAUUCUACUGUUGCGUUGAAUAUUGAUGAUUUAUAUAAAAUUGCUGAUGAUAUUGCGAGGGCAGCUGAUGAAGAUUUGAUGCCAGAUAAGACUGCCUAACAUAUACUUGAUUGGAUAGAUAACAUCCAUGACCCUUUUAGUAACCUUGGACUUUGGCUUAUAUCUUUAUUAAAUAGUCUUCUUUGUUGCCAUUAUGUUUGAUAUUGCUGGCCAUGCUGUGUUUUGAGCCGUGUUUGCUCAGGUGCAUAGCUAAUCAGAUAAAGGACUUUGGGACUGAGCUU